AUCUAACUGACGAGUUCCAAAUAGGACGAAACGCGCGUCCUAAAU
RNAcentral lists this non-coding RNA (45 nucleotides) under Schistosoma margrebowiei. The record is from RNAcentral. Lineage: Eukaryota; Metazoa; Platyhelminthes; Trematoda; Strigeidida; Schistosomatidae.